This 189-nucleotide unclassified non-coding RNA is filed under the name uncultured Chaetothyriales. RNAcentral describes it as "sequence contains ITS1". Lineage: Eukaryota; Fungi; Ascomycota; Eurotiomycetes; Chaetothyriales. The record is from RNAcentral.
AAGAGUUAGGGUCUUCCAGGCCCGACCUCCCAACCCUAUGUUUAUUAAACCUCUGUUGCUUCGGCGGACCCGUCUCACGACCGCCGGAGGACCGCUGAAAGGCGUCCUCUGGCCAGCGUCCGUCGAUAGCCAACCCCCAAACUCUGAAUAAAUCAUGUCAUAUGUCUAAGUUUAUGAUUAAAUAAAGCA